Molecule: ribosomal RNA, 483 nt
Filed under: uncultured bacterium
Lineage: Bacteria
Description: partial 16S ribosomal RNA
Rfam family: Bacterial small subunit ribosomal RNA
Source: RNAcentral
GACGAACGCUGGCGGCGUGCUUAACACAUGCAAGUCGAGCGAGGCCCACCUUUCGGGGUGGUGUCCUAGCGGCGAACGGGUGAGUAACACGUGGGCAACCUGCCCCCGGCCCGGGGAUAACUCCAAGAAAUUGGGGCGAACACCGGAGCUGACCGCUGACCGCCAGGGCUGGUGGGGGACAGAUUUAUCGGCGGGGGAUGGGCCCGCGGCCUAUCAGCGUGGUGGUGGGGUCGUGGCCUACCAAGGCGACGACGGGUAGACGGCCUGAGAGGGUGACCGGCCACACUGGGACUGAGACACGGCCCAGACUCCUACGGGAGGCAGCAGUGGGGAAUAUUGCGCAAUGGGCGGAAGCCUGACGCAGCGACGCCGCGUGGGGGAUGACGGCCUUCGGGUUGUAAACCUCUUUCAGCAGGGACGAAGCGGAAGUGACGGUACCUGCAGAAGAAGCACCGGCCAACUACGUGCCAGCCGCCGCAGUAA